Aethalodelphis obliquidens (Pacific white-sided dolphin) is the source of this 8435-nucleotide long non-coding RNA. RefSeq lists it as uncharacterized. NCBI's taxonomy places the organism in Eukaryota, Metazoa, Chordata, Mammalia, Artiodactyla, Delphinidae. The transcript is spliced from 2 exons. The record is from RefSeq and is a predicted model, not a curated record.
CUUCUCCUCUUAUAACUAGAGCUCGUUUGUUGGGUGCAGCUCGGGGGUCAGCACGGUGCAGCGGUUUAACUUAGGGAGCUUGUGAAGGGCUCCCGCUGCUGUGGUUGGUAGCGUGGAGGUCAGGGUGGAGGUGACGUUUCCUGCGUCCAAGACCUCAUUCGCAGUGACACCCCCCUGCCCCGUGCUGACUCCCGCCCCUCCGCUCCCCAUGCAGUGGGUGCUCAGUUCUUCCCAUUUUGCAGAUGAGGAACUUGGGACACGGGUGAUUAAGCCAACCUGCCUGGGCCGGGUUAGCUCCUGGCACGAGGGCUCAUGUAAGAAGGUGCUCUCAGCUCAGGUUCUGUUGAGUGAGGCACUCAGGCCAGAGGCUUGAGCCUGGCCGGCCACGGCCAGAGUGUCUGUGGCUGAUUCCACUGGGUCCUCGGACGAGGACUCUGGGUCAUGGGUGGGAAGCUUGCUGCGGCGUCUGCAGGGAACAUUCCCCAAAGGGAUCCUUGGAAGAUAAGUUCUUGGAAUUAGUCACAUGUCGGACGACCCCAGGGAGGGCCGUGGGCGCCGUGGACCUGUGGCUGGGCCCUGGGUCGGGCUGUUUGCUGCCUGGGUGUUUGCCUAGGAGGUGUCCUGGUGGGAGCAGCCCCGAGUCUCCCGGGCUGUUCCUCCCUGUCCUUUCGUUUCCUGGUGUCUGAGUCACACGUAGCUUUCAAAUGGCAGGUGUUUGGCUUUUAUUGUCCUGAUUGAUCCAUGUUUCUCUCGCUGAGAUUUUAAACUCUUCAGAGACCCUUUGAAGAUACCUUUUAAUUAAUUGUAAAUAAGAUAAAGUUCACUCUGGUUUACUGAUAGCACAGAAGAUUUUCUCAGGUGCACUUAACGUGCCUCAUACUUACAAGGCUACACCCAUGCGAUGCGUGCUUGAGACGCGUACAGUGAAACACCCUAGGGCUCCUCAAAUGGAAUAACCCCUAAACUCCAGUCCCCCAAGCAGUUUCUUAGGAAGAAAUGACGGGAUCUCCUUCUCAGGAGACUGGGGAAUUAGAGGGAGCUUCUGGGGAUCUGUUCAUCAGCCCCUUCCUUUUAUAAGGAGAGCCCUGAGGCCCCUGGCUGCUGGGGGCAGCCAGGUGUGCAGCCCAGGUGUCUGGACUCCGCGUCCCCCGAUUUCUGACACCCGCCUCUGCUGGCUGAAUGUUUAAAGUGAAAUUUAAUGCCAGAUUUUAACAAAAAUGAUUUCAGCAUCUAAAUCUUCCUCGUGUCUUACAUUCAUUAUUAUAAAGAACUGAUUUUGGUAGAAACGUGGUAAUAGACAGAGACACUACUGCUUAAAAUUAACAGAUGCAAAAUUUUGUGAAUGUCAUUGUGGCUUUUCUUUGGAUGAAACGUUGGGUACGUGACAAAGUAGUGACCUGUGCCCUGGAGGACGUAAGGAGGGGCUGGAGGAGCCCCUCGGACCCUGGUUCCGACUCUACGAGCCCUGCACGUGUCCCCAGGAUGCCUUACGCGGUGUGUGGUUGAAAGGAUAAGGAAAACCUAAUUGCAUCCCCGAUGGUGUUGAGCCCACUGUGAAUUUCAAAGAAUUUCUUGUAAGAUCUUAGGCGCUUUUUAGAGAAGACCUAAGAGCAAGGUAUGCAGGGUAACUUGUGGGUGUGUUUCCCCUUCACUGGAGGCAAAGGAAGGGUUGAUCUGGUGGCUUUUCAUUUGGCUGUUGUGCUCCACGUCUAAUGCUUCCUUUCGAUAUUUAGUAAGAGCCUGAUGUUGAGUUUCAGUGCAAUUGAAAGCAUUUUGGAUGUUAACUAAAAUCUUUGCUGUAGUAGCACCUUUCAUGCAGUAGAAUCUGCACCUUUAAUUCCACAGAAUCCAUCUUUACAUGGAGACCUACAGUUCUCAUCGUUAAAUUGGGUAAAUUAGCAAAUGAUAGACACGUCCAAUGGGAAGCUUGGCAAGAGGUGUUGGAAACACGCCCCCUCCCAUGAUGUUGGCUCUCCGCAUGUGUAUAGGGUGCUCAGGCCGUCCUGCUGUUUUCUAGGCGCUGGUACUUGAAGCUGUGAUGUUCCAGGUCCAGGACGUGAUAGGCAUUGAGAUGACACAUUGGUUUCUCAGAAGGGUGGUCCCGUUGGCCACCACCCACCCCUGCUUUCUCUCGCCUGGGCACGGCUUCCCUUACAGACGAUCCCAUGGCAGGUUUUGUCCAGCUGACCAAGAGGCCUGAGCUGUGCCCUGCCCACACCCACUCAUCCUCUGAUUGCCCCCUUCACUGUAGGCCUGAGUGACACGGGUCCCCAGAGCCCAUCAGGGUAGCCUGCUUCUUGGGUGACCUAGGGGUCCAGUGCCCUGAAGUGUAAUGAAGUUCGUGCCGAUCGACCUACGAUAGGUUGUCCUCGGGGAAGCUUGGCUUUGCCGUGAGUCAGGAACGCACUGGUGUCUGCGGAUUGAACGGUCCUUCCUCUGCGAGACGUGCUCCCUCUGUCCCAGGCCUUGCCCAGGUGGCCUUGGUUUGAAGGUUUGGGACUCCUCAAGCUAGGGCUGGGCCCUGUCCUCCCUCCCAGCGGGUCCCUCGUGGCCCAGGCCUCGCCUGCCCCGUCCAGUCAUGGUGCUGGACACACACGAGGCUCCCACUGGGGCUCUGAUGACCGACUCCACUGCCCACCAGGGACGGUAGGGGAGAGGAGUGCACGGUGGGCUCAGAGGACAUGGGGGGAAAGGCUCACUGAAGAGGCACCCGUGUGGGACAGACCUGAGCUCAGGUGCUCCCUGGCUGUCUUGUGCACUCAGGCUGUGGUGUCCUGACACUGCGAGGCACUGAGAACAGGAAGUACCCUUGGAGAAGGGCCAGGUGGGUGAUGGGGAAGUAGGAGAAACCGAUCUUCCUGCAGUAGCCAGAUUCAGAUGACCUCGUUGUAGGUUACCUGUAAUAGUACAAAGCCGCUGGUACAAAGGUCCCCAUGUUCAUCUGAGGGUGCUCUUUGAGUCCCAUUCCUGUGGAAAACAGACGUGGGACCCCAGGGACAUGUGCUUCUGAGUCCUUGUGUCCUCAGGGGGUCACCACCGCCCUCCCCGUCUACCCAGGCCUCAGGUUCUCUGCCCUUAACAUACUCCACUGACCCAAACCAGAAAACAGAAAAUAUCAAAAUGCAGGGGGAAAUGGCCUGCAUAAUAUUAAAUAAUGCGCCCCUUUUCUCCCCCUAUAUUUACCGUAAGGAUAAUCUCAUUGUAGCACGUGGACACGUUCAUCGUGAAGACAUCAAGCUGAGGUGCUUUUGCAGUUCUCGGCAGAGUGAAACAGGGUCGGUGGUUGAGGUGGCGUCUGUUGACCGUUCUGCGUUCUAGCAGACGGGAAGAGUGUUCCCUAGUGAUCUAAAGGGAAAAGCCGUGAUUUCCAGUGGUUGAGAGGUUCCUAAAGUCCGGUAGUUUGAUUUUUCCAUUUGAUGCAGGUAGAGGAUUGAAGGCAUCUGAUAUCAGAAUAUGAAGGGACAUGAGGACUUGGGGAAGGAAUGUACCCCCAGAAGGAGGUAAAUUUGAUGAAAUGAAGUGAGGCGUCUGGACAGGCUCGAAGAUUAAUGUCCUGCUGGGUAAUACCCUGCACUCUGGGAAAGCACCGAGCUGAAAACUUUUGUCUUUCCUAACACUUCUCAGACGACCUCAGGGCACGGCAGAGGGCCAGGCGGGGCCCCAGGGCGUGUGCUCAGAUGGCAUCACCCGAUGGGGUGGCACGAGGGUGGGGACGGAGACUUCCCCUGGUGGGGCCGGCGAAACAGAGCUGGGAUUGGGCCCUGCUGUGCGGCAGUUUAUCCCUGGUGUUUAAAAUCUGCUUCCACGUUGAUAACAGCUCUGGGAGCUGGCCCUGCAGUUAAUUCCUUCCUAGACAAUUAACUGUCAUGUGUCCAAAAUCCACCCACAGGGCCGCUCUCCAGGGCCGUCUGGGUGUGGUAUUGUCAUUGUGGAGCAAUAGACAGGUUCUCCAAGAAGGAAACCAACACUUGGGGGUGAUCAGCACGUGCCUGGCUCAGACAUAAUCAGUUCUGUGAAUAUUCCGUUCCCACUGUUUUCUAACCUACCUAUUCCAUGUAAGGUUCAGAAACCCAAGUGUCAGAUACCACUGGCAUGAUGUACCCACCAGCCACAAGUAGACGGCCCUGCAGAUAUCCUGUAUCCAAUGUGUAACAGACUGUUACACAUUGAUUAUUGAACUUGUAAGUAGUCCUAUGUUGUAGGUUUCCAGAUUUCCCUCCAGACCGUACUAGUUAACUUUACUCUACCAUCAUAGAAAAGGUAUCUCUGGGAUAACUUUGUGUUAAAGAAAAUCGUUUGGGAAAAGAAUAAAGAGCAUGAAAGUACCAGAGAGCGAAAUUGCAGAUAAGCUCCCCAGAAGCCUGAAGUCCCUUCAAGCUAAUCCCAAGGUGGAUUAGCUGCCGUCGUGCGGUCAGGUCACCCGGACCCCAAGGGUGCUAUGGUCUGCGUAGACGGGACCAGUGCUCUGAGGAGGGCGAGGGCUCCCCAGCCCAUAGGAAAGCCCGGCCCGAAGGGUGGGCUGCUUAUGUCUGGAAGAUGCCCUCCCCAUCACUGCAUUUAUCAGCGCUAGCUGCCCGCCCCCAUCGCUAGCUUGCCAGUGUCUUGCCGCUUCAUUUAUUCUGCAAAAAAGUAAGCUAUUUGCCAAAGCUUCAACACCCUCAUUCUUUUCUAUUUUUAAUAAAAAUGAUUUUCCUCAUGGGUUUAUAUAUUUUCUACUCAGGAAAAAGCAGGCAUAAAUCCGGCAGCUGUCACUUUGCGGAGUCUUUGUUAAAAAAUUCUUUCGGUUCCAGACCGAAGGCCAGCUUGCUCUUAACUUCCGGACACUUCUGAGUCCCCCCGCAGAAGUGCUGGGCUUCCCGUGGAGAGAUGUGCUCCAGUUGUCAAGGUUCAGACGCUGCUGGGCCGUCAGCUGAAAGAGGGUUUGUGGUCAGUGCCGCCUGGGGCAGAGGGUCACUCGGCUGCCGGUGGACCGGUGACCUCAUGGCUCUGUGAGCUUUAAAAACCGCACUCGUUUCUCACCUCGACAUUCUUUGUUCAAAGAACAUGUUUUGUGAAGCCUGAUAUGAAAUGAGAUGAAGUUGGGGUCCUUGGGAAAGUGGGGUGCCCCCCGAAGCCAGCCGCCUGGGCUGAAUUCGGGGCCUGUGGUGUUGGUGGGGAGGGGCUGAAAGGACCUCUGGGCAGCGUUGGAGGGAAGGGUGAACGUGACCGUGGCUGGGUCACCACCUGCUGGAUCUGUGAACCAGGAGGCCACUUUUCUCAUUCAGAGUCAGGGAACCAAGGUCUGGAGGAGAAAGCACGUUUUUCGGGUCCUGUGCACACGCCCUGCGUGUGCUUCCGGCCGUUGUCCUAAGGAUGGACUCUUCACCCCUGGAUGCGGGCGCACAUGCCCUGUUCACCCCUGUGUGGGUGAGGCUCCUACAAUCCCCUGCGGCUGCAGCCUUCCGUCCUGAGCCAAAGGUUCAAACCGAAUAGGACUUAUGUCUCGUCCGCACGCGUCUCAUGGCAGGUGAACUAGGCUUAGCUCACCUUGUUGUGAACAGUUGUGUUUUGCUGUCAGAUGCCCCCCUCCUGAGUUUAUUCAGACCUUUCCUAUGGACCAAGGCUGCUUUUCCUUUUGAUCUGCUAAGCAUGGUAUUAUUCUUAUUUAGACUUUGCUUAAAUUCAGUGUGACGCCUGUUAUGUGAAAGGGUUUACUGGGUACGUGAUGAAACUACAGCAGAAGGUUGUAAGCUACUCUAUGUUUCUGACGAAGCACCACUAAUUAUGUUUUUUUGGUCGUUUAAUGGAUGCAUUUCAUUGGUAAUUAUUCCUGAAAACCACUCCAGGAAGCUGGAAGGUUUGCAGCCUUUGACAUUCCCUGGCUUAACUAAGACACUCCCUGAAUCAGUAUCAACAACACAGAAGAAAAUGAGGAGCUGGAAACAAAGUGCUUGGAAUACUGACCCGUGUUUGUCUCCAGGCAGAUAAAUGAGAAGCUCUGGGGCUUUCACGUCCCAGGGGCUGAGAGCAGAUACGGAACGUGUGAGGUCAGGGCCCUGAGGGUCCUGCCGUGAUUCUGGGAGCCGAGGUCCUGCAGGGAGGGACGCCACUAAAAUCACUGAGCGUUGGUGCUGAUGAUGAAGUUUUCUAACCGCAAAGCUCAUGUCUGCAUCACAGGCUACAUGUUUCCCAAGUGCUGUAUUAAUAUUUUAACAAGUCAAGCAGUUUUAUUGAUGAUUCUGCUCUCCCGUGUCUCAGAAGGAAACCGUAGUCAAUAGAGUCUUAGAAGUUAGUGUUUUGUGCUGAUCGCAUAAUGCGGGUCUGGGUGCCCUUCCCUGGUGGCCCUGCUCAUCCCCGGGCUCGGGCUUCCGCUGCUCCAGGACCAGAGCAGGGCCAGGGCAGCCCCCAGGCCUCCCAGGGGCCACGCUUCCUCUCCCUAACUGUGGGCUGGCUCUUCUGCGGCCGACUGCUAGAAGGAUCUUAUCCCGGGGUAACAGCUGUGUCUUCCAGGGUUUGUCUCUGCUUACGCCCUGCCUUAUUCUCUCAGAAAUCCCAGAGCAGUGCAUUCCCCAGCGAGGCACAUUUGGCAAGACCGACAGCAGGCAGGUUUUGCGAGGGGUAAUUGAGCGUGUUUUGUAAACAGGUCCUGGGUCACUAGUUUAUAUAAACGUGAAGAUUUGGUUGGUUGAGCGUAGAAGAGCAGUAGGAUUCUAAGGGUCAGGAUUUGAAUACAGAAGCAAUUUUCUAGACCUUUCUUUUUGUAAACGGUGUCCUGAAAUCAAUAAACUAGCAAUUCAGAGCAUAGGCAAGUUCAGACCGGUACCAAAAGCCACAUCGCACGCCUUUGUGGUAAAAAUAAGCAGGGCAUUUGGUCCCUACUGGCUUCGCUGGUCACUGCAGAUGACAUUUCAAAGACAAAGACCGUUUACCACAUUUGAAUGUUGCCAAGAUUCCCAAUUUGCAGUCUCAUUAGAAAUGCUUUCUCAUCUCUUCAAGAAAAUUGAAUGGAAAUUUCCAGUUCAUUCAAUGAAAUUGUGCUUAUGUCUCUUCUCCUUGUCUUUGGGAUGGAGGACUAAAUUAGAAACAAUAAUUUUCUCUGAGCUUGAUCUGUUCAUAGGAAAUACAUACGGAAUUUUAAAUAUAUUCAUUUUCUCAAAAUUGGCCUUUCUAAGUGACCGUGUGUGUGAUUUCGUGCAGAAUCUCUCAUAGUGCGAGUCAAGGCUGACCACCCACUGUGCCAGACAGAACUGUGGAUUUGCACCCACUCUCGGUCCCGAGUGAAGGUCUGCAGGGUAGAGACAUGCUCUGUUUGAAGCAGAAUCUCCAAUGAUCCUUAAGGCCACCAAAGUUUGAGAAUCACCGACUUACAUUAGUUCUGUGGAAAGUCUUCUAGAUGUAUGGCAUCUUUUCUUUUUCAAGAAAAAUGAUCUGCCAGUUAACCUGUUUUGCCAUAUCUGUAUAGUUUAUUGUUUAAAAAAAUUCCAAUUUUUAAACUUGGCCACCUGUGGCAUGACUUUAUUUUACGUUGAACGGGGAUGGCCAAACUUGGAAAGAUAUUUCUAUUCCAGUAUUCGAUGAAGUGUUUCUCUGACCUUUUAUUUCUUAAUGAAGCCAUAGUUGUUGCAGCUGAGGCCACAGAGGCCAAGACCCUGAAAAUUAGCGAGGAGUCUGAAUUUUCUCUUCCGUGGCCGUUUGAGGCACUUCCGGGAUAAUUUUUACCAAAAUAUCAAAAAAGAAAAAUACCAAAUGUGAGAUGCUGAGAGUUCAUCAUAUAUACAUUCUGCUGUAUCUACUUUAUUUUAUAAUAAUACUGUGAUUUCCACUUUACAAAUCAUCCUUAAAAGCCUUGAAGAUAUGUGAUGCAUGUUGUAGGGUGGACCACAGGCUCCCACCUUGGAUCCUGGAUGUGGGCUGUUCAGGGUAACCCUGCCUCCUGCUUGUGGGCAAGGAAGUUUCCACAUCAAGCUGUCCUAAACUGUGCAGAGGGCAGCUGGAAGUGCAUGAGAGUCUUGACUACAUUUCAGAAUCGGGGGAGUCAACACAGACACGGUGGUGAUAGUCAUGGUGGAAAUUUGUUUUCGACCCCCGGUUUUCGUUAUAUGUGAUCAGUCACUCAUUAGACGAGAAAGUGACAUCUAAGCUUGUCCGAGGGGCAUAGAACACGUUUUCUGUGUCUUAUUAGGUGUUUGGGGUAUUUACUUUCUGCUAUUGUUUUUCAUAAUUCAUUCUUUUUUCUUUCUUUAUUAUUGACGUGUCUAUUUGGGUGAUGGGCAUAUAGUUAUACACUUUCAGUAGAUUUUAAGUGUUUUAUAAGUUAAAAAUAAAAUACAUAAAACAUAAUUUUUUAAAAAGUAGCUCAGGUCCACUAUAGAAAUUUGAAGAUAAAAGAGCACAUGAGGAAAGUACCAGUUUCCUGUAAUACUGUUGCCUAGGAAUUAAACAGUGAUACAACUUUG